Non-coding RNA from Dipodomys ordii (Ord's kangaroo rat), 327 nucleotides. Ensembl annotates it as predicted gene, 22009. NCBI's taxonomy places the organism in Eukaryota, Metazoa, Chordata, Mammalia, Rodentia, Heteromyidae. The record is from Ensembl.
UGGAAAUGAUGAAAUGGAGAUACUUGGGUGUUGAAUGGUGCAUGACUGGAAAAAUUUUAUAUGUAUGUUGAGUAAUUCUAGCUUAGUAUUUUGUAGAUCGUUAAUAGUGUGUGUUUGUGUGUGUGUGUUCCUGUGUGUGUGGCGGCUAUGGAAGGGGGCACUGAGCGGUGAUGCUGAUAUUGGAGUGCAUCUGAGGCUGUUGUAGACAAACCAGGUUUUGAUUACAGCAUUGCUGAUGAUUAUAACCCAACAAUAGCUCACCUGCCUAGCCCAGCACCCUCAAAUCUCCAACAGGUUCAUAGAACAUGAUCCUGUGAUCUGAUCCAA